GCUCUUGUAGUUCAAUGGAUAGAAUGUCGGCUUGCGGAGCCGAUGAUCCAGGUUCGAAUCCUGGCAAGAGCA
RNAcentral lists this transfer RNA (72 nucleotides) under bacterium. RNAcentral describes it as "tRNA-Arg". It matches the Rfam family "tRNA". From Rfam's summary of the family: Transfer RNA (tRNA) molecules are approximately 80 nucleotides in length. The record is from RNAcentral.